ACUAUAGCAAAGUUCGAUGACUUACAUUUCCUCGUUGUGGAUCUUACUAAUAAGGCUUGUAAUAACCAUUAUAGUAAUAGUAUAAAGACAGACAUGAGAGAGUUGCCUAUAACUGAGAGCUCAUAAGCAAACCUUUACAUUCAUAUUUAAUUGAUUUUCAACAAAAGGAUCUGGGCAACUCAGUGGGGGAAAGGAUACUCAACAAACAUUGCUGUGGCAACUGGAAUUUCAAAGAAUGAAAUUGAAUUUUUCUUUUUACUAUGCUAAAACAAUUAAGUAAAAUAUGGAUCACAGACUUAAAGUAAGAGCUAAAAUAUAAGACAUUAGGAGAAAAGAGAAGAAAACGCCCAUGGUUUGGUGAGUUCUCAGAAAUGACCCCAAAGCAUAAUUUAUCAAAGAAAAUGACUCGCCAAAAUUUUAAAAAUUACACUUCCACAGAUAGCAGUGAUACAAUGAAAAGAGGAGCCCCAGACCACAGGACACACCUAUGGAUUCUGUCAGAUAAAGGAUGCUCAAAAUGUGGACAGAAGUCCUGCAGGCAGAAAGCAAGAGCCCCAACUUUAACAUGAACAAGAUCUGAAUAGACAUUCCACCAAGAAAAGUACCUGACUAAGCUAAUAGGUAAGUGAGAAAGUAUCCAUAGUUAGUUACUAAGGAAAGGCAGAAUAAUUCCAGUAAGACUCCAUUACACACUCGCCAGAAGGGCUGUGUAGGACGCUGCUUUUACUUCGAGUCGGGGGAAGUAGGACUCCUUCACUCCUUGCUUCAUGAGUGAAAUGAACUGCCAGGAUAUGUACCAUCCAGUCAUGCUUAACUGCUGGUGGAACUAGAACUGGGGAGGUAGAGGAUUGUUCUCUGAAUUUAUUUAAUUGUAAAUGAUAUCUCCUUUCUUUGAGAAUCCAUACAUGUAUACAGUGCAUUUUGAUCAUAUCCACUCACUCUUCCCAUGUGAAUUCUCCCUGGACCUUCUCAGCUCGUCUUCUCAGCUUCAUUAUCAUCUCCUCGUCCUCCCUAUCUCUCUAACCCUCCUCCUCCCAACUCACUGUGUCCCUCAGUGCUACCUGCGUGUACUUGGCUGUGAAGCCAUCCACUGGAACCUGGAGACCUAUGAGUAAUCACACUUUCCCAAAGACAGAUGAAAACUCCUCCUCUGGCAGCCAUCAGCUUCCAGUCGUUUCUCAGCCAGGGGGGAGGCCUCAAGAGCCCCUUCCCUACCCAUGCUGUGAUUUUGACUGCCUUAAUCUCAUGCGUGAGCACAGCUGUGGUGAGUCCGUGGAUAAAGUGUCACGCCAUGUCUAGAAGGCAGCAUUUUACACACUUCCUCUGUCUGUCAGCUCUUUGACUUUUCCCUCCGUGUUUUCCACAAA
This 1367-nucleotide long non-coding RNA is filed under the name Mus musculus (house mouse). RNAcentral describes it as "long non-coding RNA chr3:35949972-35951339". The record is from RNAcentral. Lineage: Eukaryota; Metazoa; Chordata; Mammalia; Rodentia; Muridae.